RNAcentral lists this long non-coding RNA (956 nucleotides) under Homo sapiens (human). RNAcentral describes it as "HSALNT0336999". Lineage: Eukaryota; Metazoa; Chordata; Mammalia; Primates; Hominidae. The record is from RNAcentral.
ACAUCAACCUCUUGAAACAGUUAUUCUUUUGGGACCCGUAGCAUAUGUGUAGACAUGUGCACACAAAGAUAGAAGAUAUGCAAGUUCAUCAUGGAAGAAAGAAGGCAGACCAGCUCCAUGAACCAAGGUGCAGCUCCCAGCUCACUAUACUUGAGGCCACUGCAGUGCCACUUCACAUGGUGCAGGAGUAAACAUUGACCUUGCAGGUCUGAAAACAUCUGCCUUUAGUUAUUUCUCAUUUUGGAGAAAGAAGAUUUUGAAACUGAAGAUUUAAGUAAUUUGCCAGAGUCAGAAUGCUGUAAGCAUCAGAACUCGAUUUUCGAACUUAAGUUUAUCUGACUCAAAAGCUUUUGCCUUUCACCACCACCCUAUUGCUUCUAAAAUGUCAAACAUCGGCUGAACCACAGGACAGGUAUCCUAUAAAUGAGGAGGAUGUGGAUGCACCCCCAUGUGUACGUAAGGACACACGAGCUAAAGGCUUUACCUGACCCAGUAAAAGUGUCAAGCGCUCCAUCUCCAGUCGUGGCUGUGGUUUCACUGCUGUUCAAGGGCUCUGUUUUGACUGCAAGAAGAGACACUACGUAGAAGAAUAAGUACAUGACAGCAAACCAAAAUCAUUACAUGCAAUAAAAUGGAAGCAAAAUCCUUUUAUAGAAGACAAGCACCGUAUUUCUCAACCAAAUGCAAGCUUACACACCAAAUGUUUUGAUUUCAAAAGAAACAAUAUUUUAAUGUCCUAGGUUGAAGAGUUUUGUGGGAUUAUUAUUCUGUAUCUUCAAAGUAAGUGAGUCAGAGCUCGUUUUGCUAAAAGUGGCAUAAAAUUACUUUCUAUACCACUUUGUCGAGAACCGUUAAGAAAUCCUUGUACUGUCAGGUCCCCCUCCCCACUAGUUAGCUACUUGCAAUUUGGAUGUUUCUGAUAGAGUCAAAUGGUAAAAAUAAAUAAACAUACAUGA